RNAcentral lists this non-coding RNA (876 nucleotides) under Pseudotrapelus sinaitus (Sinai agama). Lineage: Eukaryota; Metazoa; Chordata; Lepidosauria; Squamata; Agamidae. The record is from RNAcentral.
AAACGUUUUAGUCCCGGACUUAAAAUUAUUUACAGCGAAGAUUAUACAUGCAAGACUCCGCACCCCGGUGAGUAUACACAGGCAUAAAAAUGCAAACACCGGCAUCAGGGAUAUAGCCCUAAGACGCCAUGCCCCGCCACACCCACACGGGUACACAGCAGUAACUAACAUUUCAACAUGGGCCAAACAACCACAGCCCGACCAAGCUAUCGCUAGUGAUAGCCGGCAAAUAUCUGUGCCAGCCGCCGCGGCUACACAGAACGGCUAAAGAUUAUCAACCCGGGACAAAAAUGACUAAAAAUGACCCACAACCAUAGACCUAAAACAUACCCCGGAUCGUCAAACAACACUAACAAGAACCCCUAAAACCUUAAACCAAGGAUAUUCUACUCAUAAAAAUCGGGCUACAAACCAGGAUUAGACACCCUAUUAUGCCGACCCUAACACCCAAUGCCAAAAAAGUACAAAAAAUUUAAACUUAAAAGACCUGGCGGUGCCUAAAACCACCCUAGAGGAGCCUGUUUUAUAAUCGAUAGUCCACGAUAGACCUCACCCGCUCUAGCACAGACCCAGCCUAUAUACCGCCGUCGACAGCCCAUCCCCCGAGAGAUGAAGCAACACCCCAGAGCCAUAAACCCCCAAACGACAGGUCAAGGUGUAGCCAAUGAGCGGGCAAUAAAUGAGCUACACUACUCAACAAGCCCGGAAUUCGACACUGAAACUAGCGCGAAAAGAAGAAGGAUUUAGCAGUAAGAAAGAUAAGUGCGUCUUUCUGAAUACGACAUUUAGGCACGCACACACCGCCCGUCACCCUCUUUGAAAUUUAGAAGAGGCAAGUCGUAACAUGGUAAGUGUACCAGAAGGUGCACUUGGAAG